This is a long non-coding RNA of Onychostoma macrolepis, 333 nucleotides long. RefSeq lists it as uncharacterized. Lineage: Eukaryota; Metazoa; Chordata; Actinopteri; Cypriniformes; Cyprinidae. The record is from RefSeq and is a predicted model, not a curated record. The transcript has 4 exons.
GAAGACGUCAAGACGAUCGAGGCACGGACUGUACGCUGUUAUCCUCAAAAACUUCACUAAGAUCGGUGCUGGACCGGCGAACACUUUAGGCCUAUUAUCAGAGGACUUGCUAACAUGAAGAAAAAGGUCCAGAGGUUCCACCUGAGAGCCGGGACUGUCAAAUAGUAAGAGACAACGAAAAGGGGGGAACUGUCUUUAAGCUGUGGAGUCAGAUGGAGGGCUCACAUUUACCUCAAAAACGGCAUUGCAGAAGACUCAAACAACUAGAACCAACUCAAGCACACAAUGGUGACACACAUUUGUAAGACCUUUCCCUGUGAUAUAAAAUUUCCC